Pelobates cultripes (western spadefoot toad) is the source of this 314-nucleotide non-coding RNA. The record is from the annotation of a GenBank genome assembly. NCBI's taxonomy places the organism in Eukaryota, Metazoa, Chordata, Amphibia, Anura, Pelobatidae.
GAGUGUCAGGUCCCUCUAGGGUUAACCCUGCCUGAUGUAAACAUAGCAGUUUCUGAGAAACUGCUAUGUUUACAUCUGGGGUUAAGCCAGCAUCUAGUGGCUGUCUUCCGGACAGCCACUAGAGGCGCAUCGGCAAUGAUUGAGGCAUAUUAUGCCUCAAUCACGCAGAGCGUCCAUAGGAAAGCAUUGAAAAAUGCUUUCCUACGGACACUUUGAAUGCGCGCGCGGUAGUGCCGCGCAUGCACAUUCGGCGCCGGUGACGUUAGACAAGGAUGCUGACGUCGGCGGGGGAGGAGAGGUAAGGGAGCCCGGCG